Magnolia sinica is the source of this 1788-nucleotide long non-coding RNA. RefSeq lists it as uncharacterized. NCBI's taxonomy places the organism in Eukaryota, Viridiplantae, Streptophyta, Magnoliopsida, Magnoliales, Magnoliaceae. The record is from RefSeq and is a predicted model, not a curated record. The transcript has 5 exons.
AAUAAAUACUCAUCUUGAGAUUUGACAGUGACACAAACAACAACUAGAUUGCCAAAUGAAAUUUCUCAAAUGAAGCAUCAGUGCAGGAGCUCUCUCAUUCAUUGUAUAUACAAUGCUUGGUUUUAUCCACAACUUCCAACUCCAAUCAAAUUGGAUAAAGAAAACCUAUUUGUUUCUUUCAAGAGCUCUUUGUAAGAAACCUUUAAAUGGGGGCAUCGAGAGAAGACGUGCUUUUAGUGUUGGGAUGUACUCUGGUUUAGUGCUGGGAUGUACUCUUAACUAGCUCUUGCUUCAUCCUUGAUUAUUUCUGGUUUACUGCUGGGAUGUACUCUUAACUAGCUCUUGCUUCAUCCUUGAUUAUUCCCGGUUUAGUGCUAGGAUGUACUCUUAACGCUUCACAUUUUUAAAAAAAUGUACCACCUACUUUUUAUUUACUACUGAAGUUUGCCUGUAGUCUUGUGGCACAGGCAUUGUAAGAAUGCUGGCUAUAUUUGAUAAUUCAGUAAUUUUUAGUUGCAGGGCAUUGAAGAAAUGUUGGAGCAUAGUCAAGGAACCACUCCUUCAUAUACUUUUAGCAAUAUGGAAAACCGGAUUAUGGUGAUAUGUUUGACGCCCAAGGGGGGUUUUUUCAUGGACUCACCACCUCUGUUAGCAAUGGCUUCAAUGGUGUCAAUUCUGGUUGGAGCAGUGCUUUUAGUGAUCUUAUUUCAGAUAUGUACAGUCAAGCUGAGCAGAUAUCCACUGUAAAUUCUACUCGACAACCCACUGCAAAUGAAUUUAGUUCAACUCAAUUGGGCCUGAAUUCAGAUUUAGUAAUGGUGAUGAUGAUUUGGAUGAAAAUGACUGGGAAUUCAAGCAUGCCUUCUCAGAAGACACAGUUGGAAAUGGGAAUCCUGAAUUUGAGAUUGUAGAUGCACAUCAAAACUUUUCCGGUGAACUAAAGCUAAAGAAUUUUGUAGGUUUCUACUCUAGAUUGAAAGACGAAGCAUGAUUUUUCAUACUUGACCAUCUUGAUGAUCUCAAGCCAAUGGAGAUAUAUGUGGAUGAUGAGGCCAAGUUGACCCUGCAUGGUCUCGUACAGCACUGCAUUAAACUGAGUGAGUUGGAGAAAAACUGCAAGUUGAAUGACCUCCUAGAUGCAUCAGAUUUUUAUCAAGUUGUCAUUUUCGUUAAAAGUGUGAGCAGAGUAGCUGAGCUAAACAAGCUACUCAUGGAGUGUAAUUUCCCAUCUAUUUGCAUCCAUUCUGGAAUGUCCCAGGAGGAAAGCCAAAAAAUCAAGUGCAUGAAGAUUCAAGUACUAGAAAUCAAGUGAUGCUAGCAAUGAUCUGCAGAUUUUCAAUGCUGAGAACUUACAGAGCAACAGUAAAAUCUACUACAGGCCCUAAAAAAAGAUUCGAGGUGCCGUUAACAAUGCCAAUAGAAUCCUCCAGGUCAGAUUGUUGAUUGGACCUGAUUUUAUUUAAAUGAUCUUGAUAAUCCAUUUUAUUUAAAUGAGCAGACCCGGAUAUGCGUCGGAGCUAUCCGGACGUUGAGCGGGGUCCCUGGAAUGUGAGAAUCGCUGUUAUGACCAUGAUGAAGCUGUCCAUUUCCUAUGGACAUCAUUGGAGUGGCCUGGCCAUUUGGACAGGCCGUGUUUAUAUCAGUAUUUGCUCGAAAUUGAUGGAGCAGACCCAGAUAUGCGUCGGAGCUAUCCAGAUGUUGAGCGAGGGUCCCUGGAAGGUGGGAACCACUGUUAUGACCAUGAUGAAGCUGUUCAUUUCCUAUGGACAACAUUGGAGUGACCUGACC